GUCACUGGAAACUCUAUUAACCAACCUCACCUCUCCCUCUCCCUCUCCCACAUCCUCUCAACUAGUGCUCAUGGGAGCACAUCAUUUUGUCUCCAUCAAGCUCACGUCCAAGAACUUUCUGUUCUGGCAUGCUCAGAUACGGCCCUUCCUCAAGGGUCAGAAAAUUUUUUGCCAUCUCGAUGGCUCUAAAGCACGGCCCACUGAGGCAACCGCUGCUUCCAACUUGGACGAUCAGGACUCCCUGAUUAUGGGUCUUCUUAUAUCCUCCCUCUCCGAUGAAGCGCUCCCUCUCAUCGUUGACAAGGAAACUAGCAAAGACAUCUGGGACUCUCUAUGUUCUGCUUAUGGUUCUGCUUCUAAAACUAGAAUCAUGUAUCUCAAUCUUGGCCUUCAAGACCUCUCUUAGAAGACUCAAUGAAUCCAUGACCAGCCUUAUGCAAUGAGCCAAGUCCCUCUCUGAUGAGCUUGCUGCUGCGGGGUCUCCUAUAAAACAAUCCGACCUCUGUCUUCACAUUCUUUGCGCUCUUCACAAAGAUCUUCGCGACAUUGUUCCAACGCUCCUUGCUCGUUUUGAGCUGCUAGCCUAUUCUGAUCUUCUUGGCGUUCUUCUCAGCCGCAAGUUCAUGAAUAAGGCCUCUGCUCGUAACACAUUAGAGACCGAUCCUCCUGCCCCUAUAGACACUCCAUCAUCUAACACUGCUCAGCGUGAUGCCUCUUCCACCACUUCUAACUCUCAAUAUGGGAAAGGUGGUCGUGGUGGUCACGAUGGGCAUGGACGAGUUGGUCGUGGUGGUUGUGGCAGCCACUUUCCACAACUAGGCAUGCACGUGUGGUGCUCCAUCUACAACUAUACAAACCACAAUGCCAACACCUGUUAUUACUGACCCCUAUCCAACCUGGCUACCCCUCCCCUCAACCUUAUCUUGGCUUUAAUCCCAACCCUCGACCAGUGGCUCACUUCACAACCAACCGUCCUCUUCUUCCCACACCCACCUACCCACCUUACUUCAACCCAUCUGCCGCUCAGACUUGGUACCCUGAUACUGGUGCAACCCAUCACGUCACUCCUGACAUUCAAUCUCUCACAUCCUGUGACGGGUACAAUGGUAACCACCAACUUCAUGUGGGUAAUGGUUAGGGACUCUCUAUCAGUAAUAUUGGUUCCUCUUCUCUCCCUUCUCUCUCCCCCUCUCGUUCUUUUAAUUUAUGUGAUGUCUUGCAUGUUCCCUCUAUCACAAAACCUCUCCUUUUUGUUCAGCGAUUUGCUCGUGACAAUAAAGUCUUUUUUGAACUUCACCCUUCUCACUUCUUUGUCAAGGAUCAGGUAACCAAGAAGAUUCUGCUUUCCAGACCAAGUAAAGGGAGUCUCUAUACCCUAUCUUCUCCGUCUUCUUCUCCAAUUGCCAAUAUCACUGAGUGCACUUCCAUCAAUGGUUGGCAUCAACGGCUUGGUCACCCUCACUCUGGUCUUUUCAAGUUCAUGCAUUUGGAUGGAAAGGAAUGCUAGAAGACAUGAUGGAAUCUCAAAGUAUAUGGAGCGCUGCUUUGCCAUAACCAGAAGUGAAAUCUCUUCGUAGUCCUUGGUUUACUCAGGGAAGUUGAUCUCCCUUUCGGAUCUGCUGAGUGCUAGAAGGCUGGGAUUUUCAGGUGUUCAGGGUAGGCCUAGUGAAAUUUUUGAAAUUUUCUGGUGUCGGCCCCCAAGAGGAUGGUGGAAGGUAAACACAGAUUGGUGUUCUAUUGGGAAUCCAAGUGUCUCUGGAGCUGGAGGCGUAUUUUGCAAUGAUAAAGGGGAGGUGAUGGCAAAUUUCAGGAUUUCCCUUAGAAUUCAUUCAAACUUUGUGGCAAAAUUUAUGGUUGUGAUUUCAGGGAUUGAACUUGCUGAAAAAUUGGGGGUGCAAAGGCUGUGGAUUGAAUGUGAUUCAGUCGUAGUGGUUACUUUGGUUCAGAAAA
Molecule: long non-coding RNA, 1950 nt
Organism: Macadamia integrifolia
Lineage: Eukaryota; Viridiplantae; Streptophyta; Magnoliopsida; Proteales; Proteaceae
Exons: 2
Source: RefSeq, a predicted model, not a curated record